CACCACUGCACUCCAGCCUGGGCAAUCGAAGUGAGACUCUCUCAAAGAAAAAAAAAAAAAGAAAGAAAAAGAAAAAAAAAUAAAGACAGGAAGAAAGAGAAUGGUUUUACAGGAUGCCGGGAAAGCAUAACUACUCAAUUUUGCUUCAAAGCUGGAUGGUGAUUUUAACUCCAUAAUAACCUGUGCUAAUUUAUGUAUAACCUUGCAUCUACUGGGACGUGAACCUGUAAACUCCUAUGGGGAGAGAGGUUUUAAUUUCUUACAGUUUCUCAGGAGCAUCUGAGACCCUCAAAAGGCUAUAGCAACAGGCGGGGUGAAAGAAGAAAUGCCAGUUUUACAGCCAGAGAACCUCGUUUCCAAUAAUUCUGGACUUGGCUUUGCUCACCUAUACAGUAGGUUGAUGAAAGUAACACCUACUUCACAGGGUUGGUGUAGGGAUUGGUGAAAUAAUGUCUGGGAAUGCACUUCGGAGCCCUACACAAAUGUUGGUCAUUAUAUUGUUAAUAAUGUCUUACAUUUUAUUAAGCGCAUUAUAUUGUCUUCCACACAGAUCAACGAGGCAGGCAAAGGAGGCAGUGUAAUUUUUUCCCAUUUUACGGAUGAAGAAACCGAAAUUCAAGUGAUUUGCUCAAGUUCACACAGCUGUUUAGGGUCAGCCAAGUCCAAGUUAAACAACAUAAUGUAAAUAUGUACCCAAAUGCUAAGCGCCCUCCCUUCCUCCCUGUCUCCUGAGUUUCGGGUUGAAAUACCCAGCUCACGCAAGCCAAAAUAUUUGAGGGUCCUGGCCCAUCCAUCCCAACCACGCACAGCAGUGACAGCUGCCCCGUGUACCAGACCUGACUGAGGGAUGGCAAGGCUGCAGGGAGGGGCUUCCCGCUCCGAGGCCCCGCCUUCUGGUGGCCCCAGCAGGAAAGCGCCGGCGGCAACGGGUCUCCGUAGCCGGCGAUGGAAAUCCCCAGGCCUGGUCCCUGGGCGGCUCAUUCCAGGGUUCCUUUAUUUUUGGACCUAAAAAAACCACACCAGCUUUUGCUGAGGACAGCGCUGGGCUCUCCCAUCCUGGCACACGGGCAAAGAGAGGAAGCGGGGAGGAGGCAGGAACCAGACGCGACUCCCCGUGCCUUUCUUCCCCUCCCUGUUCCCCGCCCCUCCAGGAAGAAAUCAGUCAGAGAUCCAUCCCUCGCUGUGGCCACUGUGCCUGCACCAACCACUACGCCCGCCCUCCUUUUCCUUCCACCCGAUUUUGCACUGAGAGCCCGACUGCCCGCGCGCCCCAGGCUGGGCAGGUCCUGGCAGGCGGUGCAGGCUCCCCUCCCCCGGGGCUUCUCAGCGAAUCACGUCGUUCCUGGGAUUUCAUGCUCGAGUGGCUCUUGCGUAACCCUACGCCCUGGCCUAAGUUAAUACUUUUUUUUCCCCAAAUACCGGGAUUACUCCUUUAGGGAAAGGCAAAUACUUCCGCCACGGAAUGGGCCUGGGAGUAAAAGCGUAAAUCAUCUUGCUGUCUCCCUUCCCCCACCCUCUACAGCCCCUUUGCGCGUCUCUACAGGCCCAGGGCUCAAACUGCGCCUCUGGGGUUCCUGGCGCGCGGUGAUCAGGGGCCAUGGAAAGGCCAGAGGAGGGCCCAGCCCAGACGUUUGUUUUCAUCUUCUCCGAGGCGGAUCUCGCAGGCCAGAGAAGUGGGUCCCGCUUACCGCGGGGCUGUUACCAAAAAAGGCCUUUCUUUCGCUGGAGCGCUUGGCGGCGCGCGUUGCAGCGGGGUGACGCGAGGUUCAGCCCGGGCCUCCUCGAAGGUUGAGCCAGCUGACUGCAGGGAUGCCAGGCCAAGAGUACCCCCCGCCCCCCCCAACCCACCCGCCCCGUCUCUGCCACAAAACGGCGGGGACAGAAGACUGCAGGGAGCUUCGAAGUGCGCGCCUAGCGACCUUCUCACCACUAGUAACCUUGGGCUAUGGUGCUCCGGAAAGGCCAGGUGGAAAGCUGACCUUUUGCUCCAGUUUACAGCAGGGUUCUCUGAGGAUGCCAGCCCAGAUGGCAAGCUGGGUGGGGAAAGCGACAUAGGAAGGAACUUUGGGAAGACGAUGUCGCCGUUUGGCGCCCGGCUCUGCUAGUCUCGGCUUGUCUCCCAGACCCCAUGGACAGAGUUCUGUGAGUCUCUGCACGUGGCAGUUUACGUUGAGGCUCCUCCACCUCCACCAACCCCCUCCCAAAUCCUUUCCAGUUCCUUUCCACUGUUGUCAUAGUUUUGUUGCACGGGACUCUUCUUCGGGGAGAAAACCCACCUCCAGAACAUUGGAGUUCUUGCCUCUCACCGUCUCUCACACAUCCUCAAACGGCCAUCUCAGACAGGCAACAUGAGAUACCACAAAUGAUGGUGAUUUUUUUGGGGGGGUGGGGUGUUUGGAGAGAGCUGUGUUUUAUGAAUUAAAGGAUUAUGAGACUGUAAUGGAAGUCUGUUUAAAUACACGUUGAUUUCUAACUCAGUGUGUCUGAAGGCACCCCGGCAUGUAUGUGUGUAUAUAUAUCUCCUUUAGUAACAGUGAAGACAGAGACAGACAGGGAGAUGGAGACAUAUGUGUGUGCAUACCAAACAUAACACCAUGACAUAGAAUCCAACUUGCCUUCUCCAGCCUGGCUGGAGGGUUGUGGCUAAGUUGCUAUUUUCCCAAUAUUUUUGGUUUAAUAAAGCGAAGGGCUGAAUAAAUAUUAAUGUAAAG
RNAcentral lists this long non-coding RNA (2711 nucleotides) under Piliocolobus tephrosceles (Ugandan red Colobus). RNAcentral describes it as "lncRNA (ENSPTEG00000024413.1)". The record is from RNAcentral. Lineage: Eukaryota; Metazoa; Chordata; Mammalia; Primates; Cercopithecidae.